RNAcentral lists this unclassified non-coding RNA (328 nucleotides) under Hevea brasiliensis (rubber tree). Lineage: Eukaryota; Viridiplantae; Streptophyta; Magnoliopsida; Malpighiales; Euphorbiaceae. The record is from RNAcentral.
AGACCACCAUCAAUUCCUUCCUCGAUGACUAUCGCCCUGUUGAAGGUAUAAUGAUUGCUCACUCGGGUCGCUCAGUGGUGACACUUUUCAGGUUCGGCGAGGUUGCCAUGAGCCACACAAAGACUAGGAUGGAAGAGGCGUGGACUAUCGAGGAGGUGGCCUUCAACGUCCCCGGCCUCUCCGUUGAUUGUUUCAUCCCUCCGGCGGAUAUACGGUGCGGGUCGAUCAGCGAGGCCAGUGAGCUGCCACAAGGGGAGCGGGGAAGGACCCCCGCAGCUGGUCAUCAUCGAUCCAAGGUUGCGGCGGUGGAGAAACAACAAGAUCACGG